RNAcentral lists this ribosomal RNA (1523 nucleotides) under Litobothrium aenigmaticum. RNAcentral describes it as "eukaryotic LSU rRNA". It matches the Rfam family "Eukaryotic large subunit ribosomal RNA", at positions 23 to 982 of the family's 3401-position model. Lineage: Eukaryota; Metazoa; Platyhelminthes; Cestoda; Litobothriidea; Litobothriidae. The record is from RNAcentral.
ACCCGCUGAAUUUAAGCAUAUCACUAAGCGGAGGAAAAGAAACUAACCAGGAUUCCCCUAGUAACGGCGAGUGAAGAGGGAAUAGCCCAGCACCGAAGCCUGCGGCAGUUUUGCUGUUAGGCAAUGUGGUGUUUGGGUCGGCUUAUGGGAUUGCCACUCCACUCGAAGUCCAGCAUUGAGUAUGGUCCCCUGGAUUUGGCCCAGAGAGGGUGAAAGGCCCGUACGAGUGGAUGUAUCAGACAUGUAAGGCAGUUCACCAAGCCGGCCUUAGAGUCGGGUUGUUUGGGAAUGCAGCCCAAAGUGGGUGGUAAACUCCAUCCAAGGCUAAAUACAAGCACGAAUCCGAUAGCGAACAAGUACCGUGAGGGAAAGUUGAAAAGUACUUUGAAGAGAGAGUAAACAGUACGUGAAACCGCAUGCAGGUAAACGGGUGGCGUCAAGCUGCAAGCCCAGAGGAUUCAGUCGGCUAGGAUGUAGUGUAUGCGCCUGGCGCAUCGAGAGGCCAGAGUAAGAUUGGGUGAUCUGCUGGGAAACAGCGGGCUCAGCCUUAUGGUUGAGAUAUGUGUACCGGGUGGUUGCCGGAGCAUGUCACUCGUCUGUUGGGCCGUCUAGCCGGUGCACUUCCUCUGUUGGUGAACACCACGGCCGGUGGUAUUGCCAGUCUGCCAUAGUCAAGUCGUGUUCAGUUGGUACUUGUGACCAGUUGGAUUGCGAUGAUCACAGGCAAAUUCGGUGAACGGUGUAGGGGUGUUUCGGCAUUCCUGCAUGUUAUCGGGCACUGGUUGUCAACGGGUCUGUUUAGUGAUUGUUGUAGUCGUCGCUAGAUGGCCUGGUGGAUUAUGGUGGUAAGAAUAACUGUGCAAGGCACCGGAGUUCUCGGUCUCUAAUGCAACCUGCAUGCACACUGCAAGUGACAUGGGAUGUUAUUGCAGCCUGCCUGUUAUUGGGUCUGAUUGUCGUGUCGCCUGCGCAAAGUGGGCCCGGCAGUGGCCUGGUGCAGGAUGGUGUUGUGGAUAGCAUUUCGUGUGUAGGUUGCUGUGGACCAAACAGUCAGUGGUGUAGUGGUAGACGAGCUACCCGACCCGUCUUGAAACACGGACCAAGGAGUUUAACAUGUGUGCAAGUCAUGGGGUCCUACGAAACCCAAAGGCGCAGUGAAAGUGAAGCUUCGACUUGUUCUCGGAGUGUGGUGAGAUCCCAUCGUUUCUCGCAUACUGCCAGCACCAGGCAAAGAGCGGUGGGCGCAUCACCGGCCCGUCCCAUGAUGUGGUCGUUGGUUGGCUGGGUAGUUGCUUCGGUGGCUGCUUUGGCUGCUAGCGCAUCAUCGGGGCGGAGCAUGAGCACACAUGUUGAGACCCGAAAGAUGGUGAACUAUGCUUGCGUAGGUUGAAGCCAGAGGAAACUCUGGUGGAGGACCGCAGCGAUUCUGACGUGCAAAUCGAUCGUCAAACGUGAGUAUAGGGGCGAAAGACUAAUCGAACCAUCUAGUAGCUGGUUCCCUCCGAAGUUUCCCUCAGGAUAGC